AGUUUUCUUUAUUGGGGUUGCGGACAUAUCAUAACGAAGAGAUAUCGUAAUUGAAGAGGUUUGGAAAGACCCACCACAGAAGGUAAUAGUCCUGUAUGUUAAACGAGAAGACUUUAGAUAUGAUCCAAAGUACCACGGGACACGUGAAACCCUGUGGGAAGCAGGAGGGACCACCCUCCAAGGCUAAAUACUACCUAGUGACCGAUAGCGUAUAGUACCGUGAGGGAAAGGUGAAAAGAACCCCGGGAGGGGAGUGAAAUAGAACCUGAAACCCUGCACUUACAAGCUGUGGAAGCACAUUUCUUGUGUGACCGCGUACUUUUUGUAGAACGGGCCAACGAGUUACGUUAAGUAGCAAGGUUAAGCACUUAAGGUGUGGAGCCGUAGCGAAAGCGAGUUUUAACUGAGCGUUCAGUUACUUGACGUAGACCCGAAACCGGGCGACCUACCCAUGAGCAGGAUGAAGCGAAAGUAAAAUUUCGUGGAGGUCCGAACCCACGAGCG
RNAcentral lists this ribosomal RNA (504 nucleotides) under Clostridioides difficile. Its description in RNAcentral is "partial 23S ribosomal RNA". It matches the Rfam family "Bacterial large subunit ribosomal RNA", at positions 281 to 788 of the family's 2925-position model. Lineage: Bacteria; Bacillati; Bacillota; Clostridia; Peptostreptococcales; Peptostreptococcaceae. The record is from RNAcentral.